UUGAAGAGUUUGAUCAUGGCUCAGAUUGAACGCUGGCGGCAGGCCUAACACAUGCAAGUCGAACGGUAACAGGAAGCAGCUUGCUGCUUUGCUGACGAGUGGCGGACGGGUGAGUAAUGUCUGGGAAACUGCCUGAUGGAGGGGGAUAACUACUGGAAACGGUGGCUAAUACCGCAUAACGUCGCAAGACCAAAGAGGGGGACCUUCGGGCCUCUUGCCAUCAGAUGUGCCCAGAUGGGAUUAGCUUGUUGGUGAGGUAACGGCUCACCAAGGCGACGAUCCCUAGCUGGUCUGAGAGGAUGACCAGCCACACUGGAACUGAGACACGGUCCAGACUCCUACGGGAGGCAGCAGUGGGGAAUAUUGCACAAUGGGCGCAAGCCUGAUGCAGCCAUGCCGCGUGUAUGAAGAAGGCCUUCGGGUUGUAAAGUACUUUCAGCGGGGAGGAAGGUGUUGUGGUUAAUAACCACAGCAAUUGACGUUACCCGCAGAAGAAGCACCGGCUAACUCCGUGCCAGCAGCCGCGGUAAUACGGAGGGUGCAAGCGUUAAUCGGAAUUACUGGGCGUAAAGCGCACGCAGGCGGUCUGUCAAGUCGGAUGUGAAAUCCCCGGGCUCAACCUGGGAACUGCAUUCGAAACUGGCAGGCUUGAGUCUUGUAGAGGGGGGUAGAAUUCCAGGUGUAGCGGUGAAAUGCGUAGAGAUCUGGAGGAAUACCGGUGGCGAAGGCGGCCCCCUGGACAAAGACUGACGCUCAGGUGCGAAAGCGUGGGGAGCAAACAGGAUUAGAUACCCUGGUAGUCCACGCCGUAAACGAUGUCUACUUGGAGGUUGUGCCCUUGAGGCGUGGCUUCCGGAGCUAACGCGUUAAGUAGACCGCCUGGGGAGUACGGCCGCAAGGUUAAAACUCAAAUGAAUUGACGGGGGCCCGCACAAGCGGUGGAGCAUGUGGUUUAAUUCGAUGCAACGCGAAGAACCUUACCUGGUCUUGACAUCCACAGAACUUUCCAGAGAUGGACUGGUGCCUUCGGGAACUGUGAGACAGGUGCUGCAUGGCUGUCGUCAGCUCGUGUUGUGAAAUGUUGGGUUAAGUCCCGCAACGAGCGCAACCCUUAUCCUUUGUUGCCAGCGAUUAGGUCGGGAACUCAAAGGAGACUGCCAGUGAUAAACUGGAGGAAGGUGGGGAUGACGUCAAGUCAUCAUGGCCCUUACGACCAGGGCUACACACGUGCUACAAUGGCGCAUACAAAGAGAAGCGACCUCGCGAGAGCAAGCGGACCUCAUAAAGUGCGUCGUAGUCCGGAUUGGAGUCUGCAACUCGACUCCAUGAAGUCGGAAUCGCUAGUAAUCGUGGAUCAGAAUGCCACGGUGAAUACGUUCCCGGGCCUUGUACACACCGCCCGUCACACCAUGGGAGUGGGUUGCAAAAGAAGUAGGUAGCUUAACCUUCGGGAGGGCGCUUACCACUUUGUGAUUCAUGACUGGGGUGAAGUCGUAACAAGGUAACCGUAGGGGAACCUGCGGUUGGAUCACCUCCUU
RNAcentral lists this ribosomal RNA (1538 nucleotides) under Salmonella enterica subsp. enterica serovar Derby. Its description in RNAcentral is "bacterial SSU rRNA". It matches the Rfam family "Bacterial small subunit ribosomal RNA". The record is from RNAcentral. Lineage: Bacteria; Pseudomonadati; Pseudomonadota; Gammaproteobacteria; Enterobacterales; Enterobacteriaceae.